RNAcentral lists this ribosomal RNA (582 nucleotides) under uncultured bacterium. RNAcentral's name for it is "bacterial SSU rRNA". It matches the Rfam family "Bacterial small subunit ribosomal RNA", at positions 102 to 680 of the family's 1533-position model. The record is from RNAcentral.
ACGGGUGAGUAAUGUCUGGGAAACUGCCUGAUGGAGGGGGAUAACUACUGGAAACGGUAGCUAAUACCGCAUAACGUCGCAAGACCAAAGAGGGGGACCUUCGGGCCUCUUGCCAUCAGAUGUGCCCAGAUGGGAUUAGCUAGUAGGUGGGGUAACGGCUCACCUAGGCGACGAUCCCUAGCUGGUCUGAGAGGAUGACCAGCCACACUGGAACUGAGACACGGUCCAGACUCCUACGGGAGGCAGCAGUGGGGAAUAUUGCACAAUGGGCGCAAGCCUGAUGCAGCCAUGCCGCGUGUGUGAAGAAGGCCUUCGGGUUGUAAAGCACUUUCAGCGGGGAGGAAGGGGGUAAGGUUAAUAACCUUACUCAUUGACGUUACCCGCAGAAGAAGCACCGGCUAACUCCGUGCCAGCAGCCGCGGUAAUACGGAGGGUGCAAGCGUUAAUCGGAAUUACUGGGCGUAAAGCGCACGCAGGCGGUCUGUCAAGUCGGAUGUGAAAUCCCCGGGCUCAACCUGGGAACUGCAUUCGAAACUGGCAGGCUAGAGUCUUGUAGAGGGGGGUAGAAUUCCAGGUGUAGCG